This 184-nucleotide unclassified non-coding RNA is filed under the name uncultured Sordariomycetes. Its description in RNAcentral is "sequence contains ITS1". The stretch from base 1 to 100 matches the Rfam family "5.8S ribosomal RNA", at positions 50 to 154 of the family's 154-position model. From Rfam's summary of the family: 5.8S ribosomal RNA (5.8S rRNA) is a component of the large subunit of the eukaryotic ribosome. The record is from RNAcentral. Lineage: Eukaryota; Fungi; Ascomycota; Sordariomycetes.
GAAAUGCGAUACGUAAUGUGAAUUGCAGAUUUCAGUGAAUCAUCGAAUCUUUGAACGCACAUUGCGCCCGCUAGUAUUCUGGCGGGCGCAAUGUGCGUUCAAAGAUUCGAUGAUUCACUGAAAUCUGCAAUUCACACCAAGUAUCGCAUUUCGCUGCGUUCUUCAUCGAUGCUCGUCUGACCAG